CUUUGGGUGCUGACGGUGGGGGU
This 23-nucleotide non-coding RNA is filed under the name Cricetulus griseus (Chinese hamster). The record is from RNAcentral. Lineage: Eukaryota; Metazoa; Chordata; Mammalia; Rodentia; Cricetidae.